GACGAACGCUGGCGGCGUGCUUAACACAUGCAAGUCGAGCGAUGAAACACCUUCGGGUGUGAAUUAGCGGCGAACGGGUGAGGAACACGUGAGAAAUCUGCCUUCAACACUGGGAUAACUCCGGGAAACCGGGGCUAAUACCGGAUAUGAAAUCUGCGGGCAUCCGCGGAUUUGGAAAGUUUUUCGGUUGAAGAUGAUCUCGCGGCCUAUCAGCUUGUUGGUGAGGUAAUGGCUCACCAAGGCGACGACGGGUAGCCGGCCUGAGAGGGCGACCGGCCACACUGGGACUGAGACACGGCCCAGACUCCUACGGGAGGCAGCAGUGGGGAAUAUUGGGCAAUGGAGGAAACUCUGACCCAGCGACGCCGCGUGCGGGAUGAAGGCCUUCGGGUUGUAAACCGCUUUCAGCAGGGAAGAAGCGAAAGUGACGGUACCUGCAGAAGAAGCACCGGCUAACUAUGUGCCAGCAGCCGCGGUAAUACAUAGGGUGCAAGCGUUGUCCGGAAUUAUUGGGCGUAAAGAGCUCGUAGGUGGUUCGUCACGUCGGAUGUGAAACUCUGGGGCUUAACCCCAGACCUGCAUUCGAUACGGGCGAGCUUGAGUAUGGUAGGGGAGUCUGGAAUUCCUGGUGUAGCGGUGGAAUGCGCAGAUAUCAGGAGGAACACCAAUGGCGAAGGCAGGACUCUGGGCCAUUACUGACACUGAGGAGCGAAAGCGUGGGGAGCGAACAGGAUUAGAUACCCUGGUAGUCCACGCCGUAAACGGUGGGCACUAGUUGUGGGGACCUUCCACGGUCUCUGCGACGCAGCUGACGCAUUAAGUGCCCCGCCUGGGGAGUACGAUCGCAAGAUUA
This 853-nucleotide ribosomal RNA is filed under the name uncultured bacterium. RNAcentral describes it as "bacterial SSU rRNA". It matches the Rfam family "Bacterial small subunit ribosomal RNA", at positions 28 to 896 of the family's 1533-position model. The record is from RNAcentral.